GGAUGUGAGGGCGAUCUGGCUGCGACAUCUGUCACCCCAUUGAUCGCCAGGGUUGAUUCGGCUGAUCUGGCUGGCUAGGCAUGUGUCCCCUUCCUCCCUCACCGCUCCAUGCACGUCCCUCCCGAAACUGCAUGCUCGGUCUAAGAGGACGACCAUCCCCGAUAGAGGAGGACCGUUCUUCUCGGUCAAGGGCAUACGAGUAGCUGCGCUCCCCUGCUCUCCAAAACAAGCUCUCAAGAGUCUCUCCUCAUGAAUUCCCCACCUGACAUAAAU
Molecule: unclassified non-coding RNA, 273 nt
Organism: Vicugna pacos (alpaca)
Lineage: Eukaryota; Metazoa; Chordata; Mammalia; Artiodactyla; Camelidae
Gene: 7SK
Rfam family: 7SK RNA
About the family: 7SK was discovered as an abundant small nuclear RNA in the mid-70s but a possible function has only recently been suggested. Two independent studies have found that 7SK RNA binds the CDK9/cyclin T complex (known as elongation factor P-TEFb).
Source: Ensembl